CUCCUUUUGAAGCUUCCAGUCUGUUAUUCGAACUCAAAUCAGCAUGACAGAGUGAUCUCCAGUCUUGAUACAGUGUGCAGCAUAGAGUACAUAGUCCUUUAGUCUCUGUGGAUCUGGUGGAGGCUGGUGAGGGCCACAGCACAGGGAGAGAAACUGUUCAGGUGGAGGCUGGUGAGGGCCACAGCACGGGGAGAGAAACUGUUCAGGUGGAGGCUGGUGAGGGCCACAGCACGGGGAGAGAAACUGUUCAGGUGGAGGCUGGUGAGGGCCACAGCACGGGGAGAGAAACUGUUCAGGUGGAGCCUGGUGAGGGCCACAGCAAGGGGAGAGAAACUGUUCAGGUGGAGGCUGGUGAGGUCCACAGCACAGGGAGAGAAACUGUUCAGGUGGAGGCAGGUGAGGGCCACAGCAUGGGGAGAGAAACUGUUCA
Oncorhynchus tshawytscha (Chinook salmon) is the source of this 430-nucleotide long non-coding RNA. NCBI's taxonomy places the organism in Eukaryota, Metazoa, Chordata, Actinopteri, Salmoniformes, Salmonidae. The record is from Ensembl.